AGAGUUUGAUCAUGGCUCAGAUUGAACGCUGGCGGCAUGCCUUACACAUGCAAGUCGAACGGCAGCAUGAUCUAGCUUGCUAGAUUGAUGGCGAGUGGCGAACGGGUGAGUAAUACAUCGGAACGUGCCCUGUAGUGGGGGAUAACUAGUCGAAAGAUUAGCUAAUACCGCAUACGACCUGAGGGUGAAAGUGGGGGACCGCAAGGCCUCAUGCUAUAGGAGCGGCCGAUGUCUGAUUAGCUAGUUGGUGAGGUAAAGGCUCACCAAGGCGACGAUCAGUAGCUGGUCUGAGAGGACGAUCAGCCACACUGGGACUGAGACACGGCCCAGACUCCUACGGGAGGCAGCAGUGGGGAAUUUUGGACAAUGGGCGAAAGCCUGAUCCAGCAAUGCCGCGUGUGUGAAGAAGGCCUUCGGGUUGUAAAGCACUUUUGUCCGGAAAGAAAUGGCUCUGGUUAAUACCUGGGGUCGAUGACGGUACCGGAAGAAUAAGGACCGGCUAACUACGUGCCAGCAGCCGCGGUAAU
RNAcentral lists this ribosomal RNA (527 nucleotides) under uncultured bacterium. RNAcentral describes it as "bacterial SSU rRNA". It matches the Rfam family "Bacterial small subunit ribosomal RNA", at positions 8 to 524 of the family's 1533-position model. The record is from RNAcentral.